UACGGAGGGGGCAAGCGUUGUUCGGAAUUACUGGGCGUAAAGGGUGUGUAGGCGGUUUUCUAAGUUUGGUGUGAAAUCUCCCGGCUCAACUGGGAGGGUGCGCCGAAAACUGGAAAGCUAGAGUACUGGAUGGGAGAGUGGAAUUCCUGGUGUAGCGGUGAAAUGCGUAGAUAUCAGGAGGAACACCUGUGGUGUAGACGGCUCUCUGGACAGUCACUGACGCUGAGACACGAAAGCGUGGGUAGCAAACAGG
This 253-nucleotide ribosomal RNA is filed under the name uncultured bacterium. RNAcentral describes it as "partial 16S ribosomal RNA". It matches the Rfam family "Bacterial small subunit ribosomal RNA", at positions 524 to 776 of the family's 1533-position model. The record is from RNAcentral.